This 73-nucleotide transfer RNA is filed under the name Chlamydiales bacterium. Its description in RNAcentral is "tRNA-Val". It matches the Rfam family "tRNA". Rfam says of the family: Transfer RNA (tRNA) molecules are approximately 80 nucleotides in length. Their secondary structure includes four short double-helical elements and three loops (D, anti-codon, and T loops). Lineage: Bacteria; Pseudomonadati; Chlamydiota; Chlamydiia; Chlamydiales. RNAcentral also lists the same sequence under 1 other name. The record is from RNAcentral.
GGGCGUAUAGCUCAGCUGGUAGAGCACCUGUUUUACACACAGGCGGUCAUAGGUUCAAAUCCUGUUGCGCCCA